UUUAAAAUGCUGGAUUCAUUUCACACCGUUCUCGUAAAGUAGAUGGGAGCGCUAUUUUCAUUUUAUGGAAUGAACUGAGCAAACACCUCUGGACCUUAACGUCACGGAGCCAGUCAGCACCUGAGCGGAGAGGUUAAUUCCAGAGUUGCUGGUUCCCAGGGUGCAGGCGAAACCCAGGGGACAAGUUCCUCUAGGCGGGCCCUGGGCUGCUCCCUUUCCCCUCCCAGGUGCAGACCCCACCCCUGGGCCCCACCUGUGAUGAGCGAGACUGAACAGAGGGGCCCCAGAAGUGGCGAGAGGAGAGACGCAGGUGGAAAGGGGCCGGGGAGCUGGUGGGGCAGCUGGAGAAGCGCUCGCUCACAGCUGCGCCCAGGAGGCUCCCGGAGGCGCUGACUGCAGGGAGAACCCCCCUCAGCUCCUCCUUGGUCGUCCUCCUCCUGAGGUCGCCGCUCGGAGCACAGGUGGAGCAACGCGGAGCCGGAAGGCAGGAGAGAGAGUGGCGAGUCCUCCAAGGGGGGAGGCUGUGGGAGGCCUGAGCAGAAGGCUGCUGUCUGGAAAGGCUGCGCCCGAGGGGCGCACGAGCAAUCCACCCACCGUGGGAAGGGGACGGCCGGCAAAGUCCCCUGCUGUGGGCUGGUUCUGGGUAGAGGGAAAAAUGUCUUUCAUGUGAAUUCAUAACCACUAGGCCAUUCUUCAUGUGGACUUUAGGUCGAAGCCCAGCCUCAUGUCUCGCUGUAAGAGGAGGUACCUGGGCCUUCUGACAUGCCGGGGAGGGAGCGUUCCCCACGCCUGCGUGGCUGUGCCCCCUGGGAAUCCCUGGGAGUCAGGGAGCACGCAGAUGUCUGUCCCCUGGCAGCUGGAAUCGCACUUCUGAACCCAUCAGGGAGCAGCGCCCUGCGUCUGCGGCAGGCGCUGGGCAGCACGCACAGGAAGGAGGCCGCAAAGCACCUGGUCCACAGGAGGAAGAAUACGCUCCCUCUCCUUUCUUUCUGUCUGUGUGUCUCUCCCCGUCUCUCUGUGUCUAUCUCUGUCUGUCUGUCUGUCUGUCCCUUUGCAUUUAUGAUGGUGACCAGAGAUGCUGUGUUGGAGAACAAGCCAAGUAGCUAAGUCACCCAAACACAGAGCCCACAGAAGUGGAUGGGAGCAGGACCACACCCCAGGAGAUGCGGACCACAGCCCCGCGCAAGUCCUGUCUGGGAGAACGUGUGUGGGUGCAAACUGGGGACUCGGGGGGCUGCCAAGAUCAGUGAGAGCCUCAGUUUCCUCCGGGCUGCAGGCAAGUUGCCCAGUGCAGUGCUGCGUGUCACCAGGGCUGUGUCAGCAUCUGCCAAAUUUCACUGUAAGUUUUUAACAACCUGGGAUUCAGGUUUCCUCUUCAGGGAUAGAAUUGGGUCAGGGAAGUUGGAUCCAGGAUGUCGUCACUGUGAGGGGCGUGGUUUUCCCACUGACUGUGGUUAAAGCCACAGGGCCUGGUCUGAAAUCAGGGUUAACCAGGGUUAAGCAGGGUGGGACCUGGGCAUGUGGGGCAGGGGACCCUGGGGGGGCCCUGGGACCCUCUUCCCCAUCAAGGGGAACUCACAUGCUAAAGAAGCCCCAUCUCUUCCUUUUGCCUUGUAGAGCCUCACGCCCUCCUGUGUCUUCUGUUCCCAGCACCUGGAAUUCUCCAGCUGGGCUGGACAGAACCUAAUUUUGCCAAAAGACACCAGUGUCUGACAUUCUCAGUUCUUUAAAGCAAAAGUUCUCUUAACAGUCCCUGAAGAGUGGGAGAGUUUAGCAAUUAAGACUAUAAUUUUUGCAAGACACAGAGAAAACAGGGCCGGAUGGUACGUGCCAGUCCCGCCCCACAAGGAACUGACAGCUUCUUAAAGCGCACACCUCACCGCCGGGCAGGGAUCCUGGUGUCCUCACUGACCCACAGGGGCAGGCACCAUUAGUCGCCAACCCAGUAUCCAUUUCCCUGCAUCCUAACAGGACUCCAAUUAUGUCUAGGCAGGUAACACGUGCCGCAAAAGUACUCACCUUUUCAGACUCACACGAAGCUAAGGGUGGCCACCUGACUCUUCUGGCAAACAAGACAUAAACAGAAAUCUGCUGGGACUUCUGAGAAAGUUAUUACUUCCCGGCAACAGGCACCACUCUUCCUUCUCCCAUUCUUUCUUCCUCCAUGAACUGCAGAAGCAAUGCCCGGAGCUGUAGCAGCCACCAUACAAUCAUGAAGCAAUAUCCUGGGGGAUGAAAGCCAACCUGAAGGAGGGUGGAGCAGAGAC
Non-coding RNA from Vicugna pacos (alpaca), 2267 nucleotides. NCBI's taxonomy places the organism in Eukaryota, Metazoa, Chordata, Mammalia, Artiodactyla, Camelidae. The record is from RefSeq and is a predicted model, not a curated record.